GAGUGAGACCUUCCCUAUAUUCUUACACAUCACUGCUACUUAGAUUUCACCACAUUGAGGAAUGAGGUUUCUUUUGGAGACUUCGAGACUAGAUAAUGAGGCACUCGGCGAGCCCGCUCCGGGAAUUAACUGCGUACCGGGAGAUGUGAGACGCGUGAAACAAGAAGAUUACACCCUCCUGCCCUCAAGAAAACAACGUGAGUGCGAUUACAAAGUCAUCUAUCAAUAGAUAAUAGAGGACCACGCACGAGGCUUCCCAGAGGCCUGAUGCAAUCGUGGUGGCGACCCGGGUUUCUACAUAAGGAGAUGAACUCCGCAGCUUGACGCGUUUUCCAGGAUAAUUAUCGGCUGUAUCUGCUGCACCUGAAGAUCUGUUUCUUCCACCAGCCCUGGCCUUGCUGAACAGUUAUUGCAAUUCCUUCCUUUGCACACGGUAGCUCCCACAGGCCCUUAGCUGUCCACAGAGGGACACACCGAGCCGGCCAGAAACUUCCAAGCACCUUCCAACUCCACACGCUGGAUUUUCUGAAAUCUGAUUCCGCGUCCCUGAUAUAAAGUUAUCUUGCUGGCUGGCUGUGCCGAGCUCACUCCGUGCACCCAGACAGGUGGAUCCGUCCCCACCCUCGGAGAGGGGAGUUUUGCCUUUUCAAGUCACCGUGGCCCUUCGCAAGCCGCGACAGGCCGCGGGAAGCCGAGGGGAAGAGCAGCGAUCCCAGCCAGAUCUAGAAGCCUUCUGCACGCUGAGAAAGGAGGCCCCACAGUCCUGUGUCCGCCAGACAGAACCCAGAGGGGGCCGCCCCCGUUUCAGGCCGCGUGGAAUGUUCUGGAACAAUCCGUAGGGCAACUGCAGACCCAGGGAGACAGCCUGAGAGCUGAGUCUGAACCUAGACUCUUUAGAUGCUGGGUGGUCUCUGCCAAGACACUUCACCUCUCUGGGGUGAAACCUCCAGCUUUUGGAGUAGCUGUAAAAAUCCAUUCAUGUAAGAGAGUAGUUCUCAACCGGGAGCCAUUGUGUCCCCCACGGGGUGGCAUUUGGCAAUGUUUGGGGACAUAUUUGCUUGUCACAACAAGUGCCAUCCUUAUGACUUUCCAUGAGGCAUUUGGUGUUACAGAAAAGUCCUUUGGGUCCCUAACAAUCGAUCAAGACUCGGGCA
Microcebus murinus (gray mouse lemur) is the source of this 1154-nucleotide non-coding RNA. Lineage: Eukaryota; Metazoa; Chordata; Mammalia; Primates; Cheirogaleidae. The record is from RefSeq and is a predicted model, not a curated record.